This 499-nucleotide ribosomal RNA is filed under the name uncultured marine eukaryote. RNAcentral describes it as "SSU rRNA". It matches the Rfam family "Eukaryotic small subunit ribosomal RNA", at positions 631 to 1134 of the family's 1831-position model. The record is from RNAcentral.
UAGUUGGAUUUCUGUCGAAGACGGUCGGUCCGCUCUAUGAGCGAGUAUCUGAUUCGGCUUUGGCAUCCUCGUGGGGAACGUAACUGUGCUUGAUUGCAUGGUGCGGAAUUCACGACUUUUACUUUGAGGAAAUUAGAGUGUUCACGGCAGGCAAGCGCCUUGAAUACAUUAGCAUGGAAUAAUAAUAUAGGACUUUGGUUCUAUUUUGUUGGUUUCUAGGACUAAAGUAAUGAUUAAUAGGGAUAAUUGGGGGCAUUUGUAUUAACGCGUCAGAGGUGGAAUUCUUGGAUUGCGUUACGACAAACUACUGCGAAAGCAUUUGCCAAGGAUGUUUUCAUUGAUCAAGAACGAAAGUAUGGGGAUCGAAGAUGAUUAGAUACCGUCGUAGUCUAUACCAUAAACUAUGCCGACUAGAGAUUGGAGGUCGUUCUUUUUAUGACUCCUUCAGCACCUUAUGAGAAAUCAAGGUCUUUGGGUUCCGGGGGGAGUAUGGUCGCAA